UACUAGCCCCGAUAGAAGCGGCAUCCUUUGAGGCGCCGUGAGGCGGCGGAGCUUCGCGGAGCCGUCCGAGCGGCGCAUUAAAGAUAUAGCGGAUAGCGGGAAUUGCU
Molecule: small RNA, 107 nt
Filed under: Soonwooa buanensis
Lineage: Bacteria; Pseudomonadati; Bacteroidota; Flavobacteriia; Flavobacteriales; Weeksellaceae
Description: Flavo-1 RNA
Rfam family: Flavo-1 RNA
Source: Rfam by way of RNAcentral